AGGGGGAUAGCCUUCCGAAAGGAANAUUAAUACCGCAUANUAUGUUUUUAUCNCAUGGUAGAAACAUCAAAGGAGCAAUCCGCUAUAAGAUGGACCCGCGGCGCAUUAGCUAGUUGGUGAGGUAACGGCCCACCAAGGCGACGAUGCGUAGCCGACCUGAGAGGGUGAUCGGCCACAUUGGAACUGAGACACGGUCCAGACUCCUACGGGAGGCAGCAGUGGGGAAUAUUGCGCAAUGGGGGAAACCCUGACGCAGCAACGCCGCGUGAAUGAAGAAGGCCUUAGGGUUGUAAAGUUCUGUUUUCUGGGACGAUAAUGACGGUACCAAAGGAGGAAGCCACGGCUAACUACGUGCCAGCAGCCGCGGUAAUACGUAGGUGGCAAGCGUUGUCCGGAUUUACUGGGCGUAAAGGAUGCGUAGGCGGAUGUUUAAGUGAGAUGUGAAAUACCCGAGCUCAACUUG
RNAcentral lists this ribosomal RNA (463 nucleotides) under Clostridium sp. 786. Its description in RNAcentral is "bacterial SSU rRNA". It matches the Rfam family "Bacterial small subunit ribosomal RNA", at positions 137 to 616 of the family's 1533-position model. Lineage: Bacteria; Bacillati; Bacillota; Clostridia; Eubacteriales; Clostridiaceae. The record is from RNAcentral.